GGUAGCAUAAUCACUUGCCCAUUAAUUGUGGGCUAGAAUGAAAGGACCAACGAAAUAAAAACUGCCUCUAUGAGUAACAUAAAAAUUAAUCUCUAACUGAAGAUUGUUAGAUAGCAUCGAAGGACAAGAAGACCCUAUAGAGCUUUAUUUUUACAAAUAACUAAAAUUUAUAUAAAAUUCGGUUGGGGCGACCGGGGAAAUUGGCUAUCAUCCCCUAAUAACAGAUAAAUAAAUCACAUACUUGACCCUUUCUAAAGAUCAUUAAAACAAGCUACCUUAGGGAUAACAGGCUAAUCCCGCUAAAGAGUCCUUAUCAAUAGCAGGAUUUGGCAC
This 333-nucleotide ribosomal RNA is filed under the name Eisenia fetida (common brandling worm). RNAcentral's name for it is "partial 16S ribosomal RNA". It matches the Rfam family "Bacterial large subunit ribosomal RNA", at positions 1955 to 2524 of the family's 2925-position model. The record is from RNAcentral. Lineage: Eukaryota; Metazoa; Annelida; Clitellata; Crassiclitellata; Lumbricidae.